This 305-nucleotide ribosomal RNA is filed under the name uncultured bacterium. RNAcentral's name for it is "bacterial SSU rRNA". It matches the Rfam family "Bacterial small subunit ribosomal RNA", at positions 336 to 656 of the family's 1533-position model. The record is from RNAcentral.
UUCCUACGGGGCGCAGCAGUGGGGAAUAUUGGGCAAUGGGCGCAAGCCUGACCCAGCAACGCCGCGUGAAGGAAGAAGGCUUUCGGGUUGUAAACUUCUUCUCUUGGGGACGAAGAAAGUGACGGUACCCAAGGAAUAAGCCACGGCUAACUACGUGCCAGCAGCCGCGGUAAUACGUAGGUGGCAAGCGUUAUCCGGAUUUAUUGGGUUUAAAGGGUGCGUAGGCGGAAUGCCAAGUCAGCGGUAAAAUCGCGGGGCUCAACCUCGCUCCGCCGCUGAAACUGGCGUUCUUGAGUGGGCGAGAA